AUUGAACGCUGGCGGCAUGCCUUACACAUGCAAGUCGAACGGCAGCACGGGAGCAAUCCUGGUGGCGAGUGGCGAACGGGUGAGUAAAGUAUCGGAACGUGCCCAGUCGUGGGGGAUAACGUAGCGAAAGUUACGCUAAUACCGCAUACGAUCUAUGGAUGAAAGCGGGGGAUCGCAAGACCUCGCGCGAUUGGAGCGGCCGAUAUCAGAUUAGGUAGUUGGGGGGGUAAAGGCUCACCAAGCCGACGAUCUGUAGCUGGUCUGAGAGGACGACCGGCCACACUGGGACUGGGAAACGGCCAAGACUCCUACGGGAGGAAGCAGUGGGGAAUUUUGGACAAUGGGCGAAAGCCUGAUCCAGCCAUGCCGCGUGCAGGAUGAAGGCCUUCGGGUUGUAAACUGCUUUUGUACGGAACGAAAAGGUUUGGCCUAAUAAGCUGAGCUCAUGACGGUACCGUAAGAAUAAGCACCGGCUAACUACGUGCCAGCCGCCGCAGUAA
Molecule: ribosomal RNA, 500 nt
Filed under: uncultured bacterium
Lineage: Bacteria
Description: partial 16S ribosomal RNA
Rfam family: Bacterial small subunit ribosomal RNA
Source: RNAcentral